UCUACGAGUCGGGUUGUUUGG
Molecule: small nuclear RNA, 21 nt
Filed under: Arabidopsis thaliana (thale cress)
Lineage: Eukaryota; Viridiplantae; Streptophyta; Magnoliopsida; Brassicales; Brassicaceae
Description: snRNA_10900
Source: RNAcentral